Molecule: ribosomal RNA, 233 nt
Filed under: uncultured bacterium
Lineage: Bacteria
Description: partial 16S ribosomal RNA
Rfam family: Bacterial small subunit ribosomal RNA
Source: RNAcentral
CGGACGGGGGAGUAAUGUCUGGGAAACUGCCUGAUGGAGGGGGAUAACUACUGGAAACGGUAGCUAAUACCGCAUAACGUCGCAAGACCAAAGAGGGGGACCGUUAGGGCCUCUUGCCAUCGGAUGUGCCCAGAUGGGAUUAGCUAGUAGGUGGGGUAACGGCUCACCUAGGCGACGAUCCCUAGCUGGUCUGAGAGGAUGACCAGCCACACUGGAACUGAGACACGGUCCAG